Molecule: long non-coding RNA, 1648 nt
Organism: Crotalus tigris (Tiger rattlesnake)
Lineage: Eukaryota; Metazoa; Chordata; Lepidosauria; Squamata; Viperidae
Exons: 3
Source: RefSeq, a predicted model, not a curated record
GCGACUCUCACUACUGCGAUUAAGAAAUUGGACAUUUGUUUUCCAAAUAUUUUAUUCAGCUUGCUUGGAGCGACCCAGAAGAUUUCUGGACUUGCGUUAUGCAGAAAAUAAAGAGAAUGCAGCUUAAGAAGGAAUUGCUGUCUGGAAAAAAAUAAUAAGAACACAAUCCAGAUGUUUUAUAGACAUUGGAUCAUAUUGAAAACUAGUCUUAAAUUGAUUUGAAUGGAAUAAUCCAGAAUCUUAUUGUUACAUAUUUGAUGGAGUUUGUGCAAACAAACAAAAAAGCUUAAUAUCCUCAAAGGCAUAUUGGAUGCUGUUUGAAAAACACUGGAGCUUGGACUGAAUUCACUCAUACAUUAACAUAGCAAUGCUAAAAGUCUAAAUGCAUAUUCAGUCAUAUAUUUUUCUAAGAAGUUGCAGAUCGAGCCUUGCCUGAUUCAACCAGAAUCUCAGCUUGCAUUUAUUAAGUGUCUCAACUAUCAGAUAUGCAGUAAUCAAGUGGGAAUACUAACGACUGCCCAUAGGCAAGAGAUUCAAGACACGUGAAUGAUAACAUUCCCCCCUAAAGCAAAACUCCAGCCGCACAGGAGCAACCUAAAAUCAUGCAUUCAAAUUGCAGCCUAAGAUUUCAGCUCAAACACUUGGGAAUGAUUCUUUGGGAUUGCUCUUAAAGUAACUUUUUUUCAAGUUUGCAACCAGUAUUUAGCAUCCUGAGAAUAUUAGUUGAAGGAUUUCAAAUAAGAGGAGGUAGUAUUUCUGGCAAGCCAAAGGCAAAAGGAUCAAAAUCACCUGUGUCAAGAAAAAUUCAACUGAAGAAUGGGGAAAAAAUAGUGAUUUAUUAAGAAAAACUGACAAAUAAUUCUGAGUGAUUAUGCUCCUAGGAUCAGGAUAUUGUUUUAUUCCAAUUGAGACGUUGCAUGCUCAUAUUUCUUGAUGUUCUGACAUUUCAAUUACAUUGAUGUUUUAAAAGUGUUUAGAUUUGCAAUUGUGGUUUAUUUAGCUUCCAUCAGCCUAUUACACACAGAGGGGGGGGGGACAGAUAGAGAGAGAGACAGAGAGAUACACACAAAUCUAUUCUCUCUCCACCACUGAAAGUUCUGAAAUUGCAGCAAGAUAUAAAUUCAGCCAAUCUAUUUGGAGUUGGGAAUUUAAGUAGCAACCUUGCAUUAUGUCAGCCUUCUGGCUGAUCUAAAUAUGUGUUGUCCAUUUCAAAUGUGGGUGGUUUUGUGAAAGCCUUGCAUGAAUUGGCAACAAUUUUCCAGCCUUAGGUAUCUUUACCAGUUUUCCAAAAUAAUGCCAAAGACUCAGAAGAAGAUUCUUUUAAAUCCAUACAUACCUCAUUGUGCUACUAAUCCAGUAAAAGUUAGGUUGAACUUUAAAAUAAUUGUCUCAAAGGGUUGUGGUGGCGACUGUUACAACCAGACUAACAUUUCUUCCUGGGCUGGGUUGCACAGUAUAAUUUUACAGGAUGAUGCAGCAAAAGGAAAACACAGUAAUGCCUAUUGUAAUUCCAUAAAGGGUACUUAAUGACAUAAUCACUAGCACAGUGGUUCUCAACUUUUUUAAUGCCGCGACCCCCAACCGGUCGUAAGUCGAGGACUACUCAACUGAUGCAGCACCGUUUGCAGAAUGGGACUUUUGGCGGGCU